RNAcentral lists this ribosomal RNA (489 nucleotides) under uncultured bacterium. RNAcentral's name for it is "bacterial SSU rRNA". It matches the Rfam family "Bacterial small subunit ribosomal RNA", at positions 21 to 507 of the family's 1533-position model. The record is from RNAcentral.
GGCUCAGGAUGAACGCUAGCGGCAGGCCUAAUACAUGCAAGUCGAACGAUACCAGAGAGCUUGCUUUCUGGGAAAGUGGCGCACGGGUGCGUAACGCGUAUGCAACCUACCUUAAUCAGGGGGAUAGCCUCUCGAAAGAGAGAUUAACACCGCAUAAAAUCACACUUCGGCAUCGAAGAAUGAUCAAAUAUUUAUAGGAUUAAGAUGGGCAUGCGUGACAUUAGCUAGUUGGUAAGGUAACGGCUUACCAAGGCUACGAUGUCUAGGGGAUCUGAGAGGAUGACCCCCCACACUGGUACUGAGACACGGACCAGACUCCUACGGGAGGCAGCAGUAAGGAAUAUUGGUCAAUGGGGGCAACCCUGAACCAGCCAUGCCGCGUGCAGGAAGACGGCCCUACGGGUUGUAAACUGCUUUUAUACGGGAAUAAAUCUCGCUACGUGUAGUGAGUUGAAUGUACUGUAAGAAUAAGGAUCGGCUAACUCCGUG